Molecule: ribosomal RNA, 223 nt
Filed under: Salmonella enterica
Lineage: Bacteria; Pseudomonadati; Pseudomonadota; Gammaproteobacteria; Enterobacterales; Enterobacteriaceae
Also listed under: 4 other names
Description: partial 23S ribosomal RNA
Rfam family: Bacterial large subunit ribosomal RNA
Source: RNAcentral
AGGGGAGUGAAAAAGAACCUGAAACCGUGUACGUACAAGCAGUGGGAGCCCCACCACCAAAGCAUUCUCUGGUGUUGAAGGCCCUGCAAAGCAGCAUCGCGGUGGCGGAGCGUCGUUUGCGACGCCCAACACACAAAACAAGCGGUGAAUGCUUUGGGGUGGGGUGACUGCGUACCUUUUGUAUAAUGGGUCAGCGACUUAUAUUCUGUAGCAAGGUUAACCG